CUCCAAUAGCGUAUAUUAAAGUUGUUGCAGUUAAAAAGCUCGUAGUUGAAUUUCGGGAUCAAGGAAUCGGUCAUGCCUCGGUAUGUACUGGUUUUAUUGGUUCUCACCUUCUAAAGAACCAUAAUGUCGUUCAUUUGAUGUUAUGGGGAAUUAGGACUGUUACCUUGAAAAAAUUAGAGUGUUUAAAGCAGGCUUACGCUUGAAUACAUUAGCAUGGAAUAAUGAAAUAGGACAUCAGAUUCUAUUUUGUUGGUUUCUAGGAUCGAUGUAAUGAUUAAUAGGGAUAGUUGGG
RNAcentral lists this ribosomal RNA (292 nucleotides) under uncultured Glomeraceae. RNAcentral's name for it is "partial 18S ribosomal RNA". It matches the Rfam family "Eukaryotic small subunit ribosomal RNA", at positions 589 to 886 of the family's 1831-position model. The record is from RNAcentral. Lineage: Eukaryota; Fungi; Glomeromycota; Glomeromycetes; Glomerales; Glomeraceae.